AAUAAAUUCUUGAGAACUAUUAAAUAAGCAAAGAAAGACAUUUGAAAUCAAACCARAGGCACUUACAAUGAAACACUUCACUAAAUCCAGCAGAAGGACAUUUGCACCACGGCUUCCAAGUGACCGUGCAAGGGAAGGCGAAGAGACUUGGUGCUUUGUAUCAAACAGGGAUGGAGCUCAGAUCCUCCACUCCGAAAGUCCUGGCAAUCCCCUGACCGAGCUGAGGAGGCGUCCUGCUACACACGGAGCAGAUCAGGGAGGAUCCAUAAG
This 270-nucleotide long non-coding RNA is filed under the name Dromaius novaehollandiae (emu). Its description in RNAcentral is "lncRNA (ENSDNVG00000005469.1)". The record is from RNAcentral. Lineage: Eukaryota; Metazoa; Chordata; Aves; Casuariiformes; Dromaiidae.